Momordica charantia (bitter melon) is the source of this 969-nucleotide non-coding RNA. The record is from RefSeq and is a predicted model, not a curated record. NCBI's taxonomy places the organism in Eukaryota, Viridiplantae, Streptophyta, Magnoliopsida, Cucurbitales, Cucurbitaceae.
CAUUUGAUGUUUUUCAAAAAGCUUACAUAACUACUUUUAGCUCCAUAUUUCUCUCAAAUUUUUCUUCUCUAAAAAGAGUCCACCACUCUAUUCCAAGCCUUGAGAAUAGCUAGGAAGAUCUCUUGGAUUAGGAAGGGCUAGUAGCCCAUGGUUAAGAAGCCCAAGUGAGUAGUACAAGGUUUAAAGGUUUAGGCUAGUGAAAGGGGCUUGAGAAAUGAAUUUCUAGGAGAAGUUAAGCUUGAGGCUGGGAAGUAGAAGGAAGCUAGAGUUGGACAGAAAAUAGCGUCUUCCAGAACGUGAACAAAUCUAGGCUGCUUUCAUUUCUUUGCUCUAGCUGAAGCACUAUAGCAGAAUAGGUAAGUUCUAGCAUUGAUGAUCAAGGUAAAGGUUUGAGGCAUAGAGAUGAAUGUUUGAAGUGCAGGUUUCUAACGUUCUUCUUUUGUGAAAAGAGGUUUUUAAGGAGGAGCCGAGAAGAGAAAGAAGUGCGGAACCAGAGAGGAAAAGCCAAAGCAUUGUCAAGUCGAAGCAUAUAAAAGCUGGAGCAUAGCGAUAUCAGGGCAUGGGUGUCCGUACAGUUAAAUCAAAAACACCAGAUUCACUUAUGUCCGUACAAUCUCCAGUCGGGUGCCCUAAAAACGGGAUCCGAUAUUUAAAGGAAAGGUUGCCCUAGCCGACGGGCACGCAGAUCCUAAGGGAGGCAAAAGUUGAAAGCUGAAAUGACCAAGGGAGGGAAUAUACCCAUUUUCGAGAGGAGAGCUGACUCUAGAAAGGGGAAACUCAUCUGCUGCUUUGCGCUGACUGCUUUUCUUCUCUGUCAUUUAGCUAAAUUUCUGCUAUGGGUUGUAUUUCUUCUUCUUCCAUUUUGUUUUCUACACCCAUUAUGAGCUAAACCCCAUUUCGGGGGAGGUUCACACGCUGUAACUGACUUGAGACCGAAUAUCUAGCAUGCUACAUUUAUUUUUAAGCAAA